ACACAAUCCAGGAAAUUUGUUAGUGCAAGGGAGUACUACUGCUUCAAGCUGCAGGUCAGGAAGAAACUUUUAAACAUCAUCUUGUUCGGGGGGAGCCUUUUCCAACAGUGGGCUGUUGACAUGUAUAUUAAGAUUGAGUCUAUGAGGCUUGACUGGUAUUUGAAGCCAGAAAAUCAGAAGGUUAUACAAGCCGACCUCUACCAGGGUCUUGUUGAUACCGUUGUUGCUGGCGAGUCACGCGGUGAUCGGACUGGCAAAAGAAUCGUGCUUCCAUGUACAUUUCCUGGUGGUGAUCGCGACAUGCAGCGGAGAUUCCUGGAUACAAUGGCAAUUGUCCAGCGGUGGGGCAAACCAGAUUAUUUUAUUACGAUGACUUGCAAUCCCUAUUGGGUGGAGAUAACAGAGGAACUAUUGCCUGGACAACUGCCACAAGACCGUACAGACCUGGUGGCAAGAGUAUACAGAGCUAAACAACGACAUAUGAUGGACUUACUGACUAAGGGUAAGCAUUUCGGAGAAGUAGCAGCUUAUGUACAUGUC
This 540-nucleotide ribosomal RNA is filed under the name Triticum aestivum (bread wheat). RNAcentral's name for it is "partial small subunit ribosomal RNA". Lineage: Eukaryota; Viridiplantae; Streptophyta; Magnoliopsida; Poales; Poaceae. The record is from RNAcentral.